AAAAAGACAAAUCCUGGUUUCCGUGUCCAACGUUUGACCGUCCGUCUUAUUGGAAAAAAUUAUGAAAAAAGAAAUAAAAGGAGAAGUCACGCAUAAAAUAAAAUAUUAAUCAUGUUUUAUCAUCUAACAACAAUGAAAAUACGAAUUAUAAAAAAAUUUCAUAUAAGACGGACAGUCAAAGUUGGACACGGAAACCCAGGAUUUGUCUUUUU
This is a microRNA precursor of Oryza sativa Indica Group (long-grained rice), 212 nucleotides long. It matches the Rfam family "MIR812 microRNA precursor family". The record is from Rfam. Lineage: Eukaryota; Viridiplantae; Streptophyta; Magnoliopsida; Poales; Poaceae.